Oxyura jamaicensis (ruddy duck) is the source of this 1690-nucleotide long non-coding RNA. RefSeq lists it as uncharacterized. NCBI's taxonomy places the organism in Eukaryota, Metazoa, Chordata, Aves, Anseriformes, Anatidae. The transcript is spliced from 4 exons. The record is from RefSeq and is a predicted model, not a curated record.
GGUGAACACUGGGAAAACCCAGGAAUCAGCAAAUCCAUUGUGUUGCGCUGACAGAAAGAUACUGUUACAACACACUUUAGCUGCCAACUUGCUGCAGUCACUCAAUCCAUCAUGGUGGGCUGUUGGAUCACAAGCCAGUGAAACUCAGCCUGGCGUGUUAUUUUAGUCUUACAUGGACUGUGAGAUAAACGGGGCAUGAACCAGCCCCCUGGCAGGGGGUCGACCCCUAGCGCCCUCAUUAAAGUGCCAAUCAAAAAGAGUAAUGGAACAGGGAAUAGAAAGCUGGCUUCUUCAGCCUCUUACUGCUCUCAGUCUGAGCAACUUUCACAAGCCAAAGGAAACAUUUCUCUUCUGAAUAGGAGCCAGACUUCCAGAAAUACCUCCUCUCUCCUUGUCUCUGUGAGAGCAAGUGCUGAGACUCUUCUGUGUGUCUUGCUUAGGGUGGAAACCUGUUGCUUACUACAGUGCAGGUAGUAGGAAGAAGUGUUGCUGACUGCAACCCAGAAAGGAUGGAGAUGCUUAUUCUGUGGAAGAUGCAGGCACAGGGCUGUGUGUGCAGGGCUCAUUGAUUGGUUAGUGACAACGGUUUCAAUUGCAGAUUGCUCACAUUUCAGCAUUCAUGGGUAAACGAUGGAAGGUAAACUGGUGGGUCCAGAAGUCUUGCUGAUGUGCGCAAGCUGCCUGUAACCUGCAGUGUGUACACCUAGAAAGCUGCUUUUCACACCAAGGUACCAGAGGUGAAAUCACUGUGAUGACCAGAUAGAGGAAUGUUCUUCAAGGAAGAGAAGCAGAGCAAGCGAGGUUACUCAUAAAGGAGUCAUCAUCUAGUGGUUUGGGUUGUUGUAGGAAACAGCUUCUGAAACAGCAAGAAUAUCUGCUUUUAUUGCUGUAAGUCAUACCUCCUCCUCAAAUGAAACCAGGCUAAAGGGUGUUUGCUUUGCAGCUCCUUACAUAGUUGCUGCAAAACAAAGUAUGCAAGCCUUCUGCCUGUAACUUACCACCACGGAGCUGUGAACUACAGCUGUGAACUACUUUUUAUUCACCUUACCCACCUACGUUUUAGCGACUAGACAUUUUCUGCAUUAAAAAAAAGAAUUUUACAGGGAAGAGAAGCAGGAAGUCUUAGUAGCGGAGUCCAACAGGACUGACAUGUUAAAGCACUGUUGAGCCAAUGCACUUGUUGAAUUCUACACUUUACUUAAAAAUUAUACAGAGGAAUAUACAAAAGUGGUGCAUUAAAUCAGUUUCAUUUGCAUAAUGGACUUUGUGGAUUUUGAUUUCCAGUCACAGACCAUACACACAUCCACUGAUACUACAUUUUGUUCUUACACAGUGGUCCUCCACCUUUCACAGUACAAGAGUUAAAAACAGUUUUACUUCUAACAUUUAGUUAAAAAAUAUUCCUGUAUGCCUUUAUCAUAAAGGAUGUAAAAAGGUAAAUUAAGAUGAAAGUAAAGUUAUAGGGGACUUCUUAUUUUUGAGUCGGAGGCUUACAAAAAUCAACACUUCUUAAAAGGCUCCUGAAAUCUGCAAAAGGUUACAGAACAGUUCUGGGAAAAUCGUGUACUCACAUUUGAACCUUGCAUAGCAGAGUGCUGUACUGCAUGCAGAUAUUCAGCACAGUUGCUGAACUAUCUCCAGGGAACACAUAUGAAAACUAGAGUGGGGUGGGAGAGGCCAAAAAAAAAAA